UUCUAACGCUGGACCUAUGGAAACAGUUCCAGUGCCCACUCUUGGAGGGG
Molecule: long non-coding RNA, 50 nt
Filed under: Rhipicephalus microplus (southern cattle tick)
Lineage: Eukaryota; Metazoa; Arthropoda; Arachnida; Ixodida; Ixodidae
Description: uncharacterized LOC119165873
Source: RNAcentral